Molecule: transfer RNA, 90 nt
Filed under: Acidimicrobiaceae bacterium
Lineage: Bacteria; Bacillati; Actinomycetota; Acidimicrobiia; Acidimicrobiales; Acidimicrobiaceae
Description: tRNA-Ser
Rfam family: tRNA
About the family: Transfer RNA (tRNA) molecules are approximately 80 nucleotides in length. Their secondary structure includes four short double-helical elements and three loops (D, anti-codon, and T loops).
Source: RNAcentral
GGAAAGGUGGCCGAGUCAGGUUUAUGGCACCGCCCUGCUAAGGCGGCGACGUGUGAGCGUCCGUGGGUUCAAAUCCCGCCCUUUCCGCCA